Cygnus olor (mute swan) is the source of this 1176-nucleotide long non-coding RNA. RefSeq lists it as uncharacterized. The record is from RefSeq and is a predicted model, not a curated record. Lineage: Eukaryota; Metazoa; Chordata; Aves; Anseriformes; Anatidae. The transcript has 2 exons.
GCUGCGGGUAGGCUCCUGGCCGGCUCGUGGCCGCCGCCGCGCCCCGAGCGGCGCCGGGGGGACCGCCGCAAAACGUCCGAACCGUCAGCCCCGCGGUGCGGCAAGGCGCCUGGACCGCCUGCCGCCGCCCCGCCGCCGUCGCUGCGAGGCAGCGAGGAAGCCUCGGGCGCGGCCGGCCGUUACGCCGGGCGUGAUCCGCCGCCUGCCGGGGGCAUCUCGGGGGCUUAAAAUGCCCCGGUGCCACCGCAGCGGGACUCGGGUUGCCACAGAACGCGAGGGCGCGCAUCAGCUCCCAGGCCCCGCGACCAGGGACGGGCAGAGAGCUGCCAGGCGCCGCGCGCCGUGCGCGUCCACCGCCUCCGUGCUCGCGCCGCGGGAGUUUCCGUGGGCCCUGUGAGGUGCCCCCCUGGUGCCGCUGCCGCCGCCAGCAGCGCUGGCUGGGCCGCCUCAGCGUUCACUCGGACUGAGCACUUACAGCUCUGAGCCCAAGCGAGCCUGUACCCCGCGCUGCACGACGCUCCCCGCACCAAAGAACGUGAAAGCUUCGGCUGAUUGCAGGCUGCCUUCUGCUGGGUGCCUGGGUGGGCCGAGGUCCGACAGCUACCUGUGACUGUGCUUGGAAUUUGAUUUGACACAUCUGCUACCGUUCCAAGAUGAAGAAUCACUCCCUCUUGGAGAUGAGACGAGCGCUUCUGAAGCUAUGGUCCUACCCAGAAUGUGCUUGCCAUUUCCUAAUAAACACUUGCCUGAGAGUAGACCAAUACUUAGGCCUCCCCAGAUCAUUUCAGUACAUUGUCCAGCACCUCGUGGAAACAGGCUGUACAAAAUAUGCUGCCAUCCACCAGAAAAUGAUCUUAAUACUGAGCAAUGGAGCCCAACAGGAAACUGUGCAGAUGUGAGGGGCAGAUGGGAUUUGACCUUUGCUCAGCAAAGGGAUGUCUCUGUGGCAGAGACGCUCCGAGAAGAUACCAAAGAGCAGGAUCUCAAGGAGACUGCUUCCACUGACCUGAUGAUUGCCCUUCAUCCGUACACAAAUGUGAUCUAGGGUGACUGUGCUUGUGUAUUUUUAGUAGGCUGCACCCUCUCCAGAAUUUGAUUCGAUGAAAAAAUUACCUUGAUCUGUGUUUGUCUGAUGCAAUUGAUGUAUUUAGCUGCAAAAAGUUGGAAUCUAUACAA